AUUGUUGUGCAACUGGUAACCCAAAAAUAAAAAUGUGGUUGUAAAUGCAUUUACCGGUCAUUCUGAUAUUAAUGCUCGCUAUGGGAACACAGGAUGGCCGGGCAGUGAUAGUUGUACAUUUCCAUCACUCGUUGUGUUGAUUUCAUCAUGUCCAUUAGGUGAUGUUUUUUCACUAUAGAAUCAUAUUGCAAAUGCACGUGCAUUGUUGUGCAACUGGUAACCCAAAAAUAAAAAUAUGGUUGUAAAUGCAUUUACCGGUCAUUCUGAUAUUAAUGCCCGCUAUGGGAACACAGGAUGGCCGGGCAGUGAUAGUUGUACAUUUCCAUCACUCGUUGUGUUGAUUUCAUCAUGUCCAUUAGGUGAUGUUUUUACACUAUAGAAUCAUAUUGCAAGUGCGCGCGCAUUUGCAAUAUGUUUCAAUGUGCAUUUACCAUAUGAAAUUUGACAUGCUCAAAAAUGCAAAAUUGACUGGUCUGAUGGACACAGGAUGGCCGAGCAGUGAUAGUUGUACAUUUCCAUCACUCGUUGUGUUGAUUUCAUCAUGUCCAUUAGGUGAUGUUUUUACACUAUAGAAUCAUAUUGCAAGUGCGCGCGCAUUUGCAAUAUGUUUCAAUGUGCAUUUACCAUAUGAAAUUUGACAUGCUCAAAAAUGCAAAAUUGACUGGUCUGAUGAACACAGGAUGGCUGAGCAGUGAUAGUUGUACAUUUCCAUCACUCGUUGUGUUGAUUUCAUCAUGUCCAUUUGUUUAUGUUUUCUCACUUUUGCAAAGUCACUGUGCAUUUGCAAUAUGGUUCAAUGGGCAGGUACCAUCACGAAUUUGUCAUGCUAUAAAAAUCCUGCAGGAAUGUGAAAUUGACUGGCCUGAUGAACACAGGAUGGCCUGGCAGUGAUAGUUGUUCCUUUCCAUCACUCGUUGUGUUGAUUUCAUCAUGUCCAUUAGGUGAUGUUUUUUCACUAUAGAAUCAUAUUGCAAAUGCACGUGCAUUGUUGUGCAACUGGUAACCCAAAAAUAAAAAUAUGGUUGUAAAUGCAUUUACCGGUCAUUCUGAUAUUAAUGCUCGCUAUGGGAACACAGGAUGGCCGGGCAGUGAUAGUUGUACAUUUCCAUCACUCGUUGUGUUGAUUUCAUCAUGUCCAUUAGGUGAUGUUUUUUCACUAUAGAAUCAUAUUGCAAAUGCACGUGCAUUGUUGUGCAACUGGUAACCCAAAAAUAAAAAUAUGGUUGUAAAUGCAUUUACCGGUCAUUCUGAUAUUAAUGCUCGCUAUGGGAACACAGGAUGGCCGGGCAGUGAUAGUUGUACAUUUCCAUCACUCGUUGUGUUGAUUUCAUCAUGUCCAUUAGGUGAUGUUUUUUCACUAUAGAAUCAUAUUGCAAAUGCACGUGCAUUGUUGUGCAACUGGUAACCCAAAAAUAAAAAUAUGGUUGUAAAUGCAUUUACCGGUCAUUCUGAUAUUAAUGCUCGCUAUGGGAACACAGGAUGGCCGGGCAGUGAUAGUUGUACAUUUCCAUCACUCGUUGUGUUGAUUUCAUCAUGUCCAUUAGGUGAUGUUUUUACACUAUAGAAUCAUAUUGCAAGUGCGCGCGCAUUUGCAAUAUGUUUCAAUGUGCAUUUACCAUAUGAAAUUUGACAUGCUCAAAAAUGCAAAAUUGACUGGUCUGAUGGACACAGGAUGGCCGAGCAGUGAUAGUUGUACAUUUCCAUCACUCGUUGUGUUGAUUUCAUCAUGUCCAUUAGGUGAUGUUUUUACACUAUAGAAUCAUAUUGCAAGUGCGCGCGCAUUUGCAAUAUGUUUCAAUGUGCAUUUACCAUAUGAAAUUUGACAUGCUCAAAAAUGCAAAAUUGACUGGUCUGAUGAACACAGGAUGGCUGAGCAGUGAUAGUUGUACAUUUCCAUCACUCGUUGUGUUGAUUUCAUCAUGUCCAUUUGUUUAUGUUUUCUCACUUUUGCAAAGUCACUGUGCAUUUGCAAUAUGGUUCAAUGGGCAGGUACCAUCACGAAUUUGUCAUGCUAUAAAAAUCCUGCAGGAAUGUGAAAUUGACUGGCCUGAUGAACACAGGAUGGCCUGGCAGUGAUAGUUGUUCCUUUCCAUCACUCGUUGUGUUGAUUUCAUCAUGUCCAUUAGGUGAUGUUUUUUCACUAUAGAAUCAUAUU
Oncorhynchus keta (chum salmon) is the source of this 2155-nucleotide long non-coding RNA. RefSeq lists it as uncharacterized. The transcript has 3 exons. NCBI's taxonomy places the organism in Eukaryota, Metazoa, Chordata, Actinopteri, Salmoniformes, Salmonidae. The record is from RefSeq and is a predicted model, not a curated record.